AUUGCCAGUGUGUGACUGUGAAGGCCACAUGGUCCUUCGAAAACUCAAAUGCAAGGGACGUGUUUCUCCCCAAGAAAAGGUGGCUGGCUUGAUGACUGUGAGUGCUGCCUUCCCCUUUUCCCCCACUGGGCUAACUCCUAACUCCUCACCGGUGACAUGGCUCAAGAUCGCUUCUCUUAGAAGGACGUCCCGAUCCGCCGCUACCCCGCAUGGCCCCCAAGCUGGACUGGAGCCUGCAUUCGUCCCCAGGACUUCCGUGAAAAGUGACCACAAAGGGAACAGCUGGAUACAACAGGGAUUUACUGCCUCCCAGUUCUGGAGGCCAGAAAUCCAGGUGUCAGGACCGUGUUCCCUCUGAAGGCCCUAGGGGAGGACCCUUCCUUGCCCUUCCCAGUGUCCCAUGGUCGCUGGCAUCCUCUGUGUCCCUUGGGUUGGGACAGCCCCUCUCUAAUCUCUGCCUCCACCUGUACAUGGCCAUCUUCCCUGGAUGUGUGUCCAAAACUCUCUCCUUUAUAAAGACACCAGUCAUUGGAUGUAAGGCCCACCCUACUCCAGCGUGACCUCAUCUUAACUCCAUGACGUCUGCCAAGGUCCUUAUCCAAAUGGCCCUUAUCCCAAUAAGGUCACAUUCACAGGUAUCAGGGGUUAGACCUGGAACAUAUCCUUUUCAGAACACUAUUCAGCCAGCCCACACCAGCACCCCCGACAGGCGCUACCGUGCAUCCUUUUCAUGCUGUUGUGUAAUGAUCUGUUCCUGAGUAUCUCCCCAAGUUAGCCCAGGUCUUUAGAGAUACCUGGUUCAUCUCCUUUCCCCUGGGGCCUCACACAGUACUGGGCCCAGAAGACACUCAGUGUGGACAGAAUGAACAGAUUACUUUAUAUUUUAAUAACGAUUAUAUCUGUGGGAAAGAAUUAGAACGUACCUUCUCCAGACAGUUUGAGCAUAUUCUACUGAGGUUUCAAAGCCAUUUUACUCAGUUUCAAAGGUCUUUUAAUGACAAGGACGCAUUUGGCUAAAUGAAAGAAAAAAAUGGCCACAGUUUACCUCUGUAACUAGGCUCCGAAUGAGUCAGGCUUCCACCUUCCGGCCUCGGCCAAAGAACCUCAAAGCUCUAUGUGUGAUGAAGUCACCGGAAUGUUUACAGGGCAACCAUGGGAGGGGGCAUACAAGCCCACCUUGUGACAUUUCUUGUUAGCAGCAAUCAUCUCUUUGAUGUUUACAUCUGAGGCUUCUUUGACGAGUAAAACAAGUUUGCAUGAGAGUUAUUUAAAAGUUUUCUUAGUAUUAAAAUAUAUCCAGAUAACA
Molecule: non-coding RNA, 1306 nt
Organism: Macaca mulatta (Rhesus monkey)
Lineage: Eukaryota; Metazoa; Chordata; Mammalia; Primates; Cercopithecidae
Source: RefSeq, a predicted model, not a curated record